Alligator mississippiensis (American alligator) is the source of this 1913-nucleotide long non-coding RNA. RefSeq lists it as uncharacterized. NCBI's taxonomy places the organism in Eukaryota, Metazoa, Chordata, Crocodylia, Alligatoridae. The transcript is spliced from 3 exons. The record is from RefSeq and is a predicted model, not a curated record.
UAUUUGUUUUUGUUGUUCGCGUACUAUGGAAUACUAUAACAUCCUAAGCUAACACCUUCCCCAGAUCCAGAGAACUACAGACCAGUCAACCUGACCUCUAUAUCUGGAAAGAUCAUGGAGCAGGACCUCACGGAAUCCAUUGUGAAGCACCUAUAGCUGGAAACAGACAGCAUGGAUUCACCAACAGCAAGAUAUGUCUGAUCAAGAUGAUUUCAUUCUAUGUUGCUUAUAACUUACAAUGGAACAUUUCAGCCCAAAGUUUAUCUGCAUGACGCUGAAAUUUUGGGAAAGUUUCAGUAAACAAGGUCUCUAGGCUCAGUACAGAAUCAUGUUCAUGAAAUGAAUCAAGGUGAUGCAGAAUGAUCACUUUGUUGCAGGAAAUUGGAAGAAGACUGCAGAAAGAAGGGAUGUUCUGGAUGUAGGCUGUUGAAUGACAACCUGGAAAAUUCCUAUGCUACCCUGAACAAGCCCUACACCAAAAAUUAUUUCAGUCACUGUAACUGCAUUUCUUCAUUAUCUGAAUAUCCAAAGUGGGGGCAGAUUUGUCAACAAUCAAUUACUGGCAACUCAACCACACUACCAAUAGUUUCUGUAAAACUGAAAUAUCUCUUUACGUAUAAAACCAAACCAAACCAAACCAAACCAAACCUUAAUUUGAAAAGCUACUCCAUUAACUUAGUUUGGAGUAGCUUUAGGCACAAAAAAUUAUCAAAAUACAGAGUAGUGCAAGCAGGGGUUUAAAAGUUGCUUCCUCUACCUUUCCCUUGAUGGUUUUCUAAAAAAGUUUCACUGGACUGAAGUUAAACAGUGGCUUAAACUACUGCUACACAGAGACCAUUGCUUUAGAGUGGUGUCAAACUUACCAUGCCCACUUGGCCAGAUCUAGACUAAAGAGAUGGAUGCAGAUGUGGCAGUGGGCCUUUGCUUGCCCCCCUGCCACCAAAACAUGAGCUCCAUUGCCUAGAUAUAGCAGGCCUGCCCCCAAAUUCUCAGUCUCCCUACAGCCCUGUGGAAGGGACAAUCCACAGACUUGAUCUGGCCUGAUGGCCAUAAAUGUGAUACCCCUGAUGUAGUAGACCAAUGUCACCUCAGUGUAUCCUUACAGUCCCUUGUAUGUACGCAUCUGUUUGUUGUCUUAGAUUAUUAAGCCCCUGUACCAAAGAAAUGAAAGUCAUUUUUCUGAGUUUGUACAGCACCUAGUAAUGGGGUUCUGUUCCUUGACUAAGGUUCUAAAGUGCUAUGGAAAUACAAAUGAAAGAGGUUCUUGAACAUCAACGAGAGAUGUUCUCCUAUCCAUACCAUACAGUAUUUUAUCAGAAUACAGAUGAAUUUUGUAAAUUUUGUACAAAUAAAUUUUAUAAUCUGCCUAAAGAAGACUAAAUAUUUCCUACAGAUUUCCUUAUCUGAGGUAAGGGCAAACAUUCUUGUUACAGCUCAAGCUAACUUGCUAUACUCUUGUAGUUCCAUUUAACACAACAAAAUAAGACACCACACACACACACACACACACACACUCUUUUUAUAAUUAAAAUACAGCUCAUCUCUACUAGUUUCUUUUCCCUUUGUAUUUACUGCCACCAUGAGGAUCAGAGACAUAACACAGACUGAUUGUGUGAAUUCAAGCAAAGGUAAACUUGACACUGCUUAUAGCUUGACCUCUCUCAACAGGCCUUGAAGAGGUACAGGGAGGUAUGGAGACAGGGACAAAGCACAGGCAUUAGAGCAUGGGUUCUUCAAACCAGCAAACCUAUUCUUGUCAUCUGUCAAUCUACACCAUCCCCAUUUUUACACCUCAUUUAUAUGGUAAAGAUGAAAUUUGGAUGAUUUUAAGAAAAAGAACCUUUUCAAUACAUCAUCACAGUUUUCUACAUAGUCAUUUAGGCCACACCAUUCUAGUAGAACAGGACCUCUGG